AGUGGCGAACGGGUGAGUAACACGUGAGCAACCUGCCCCUGACUCUGGGAUAAGCGCUGGAAACGGCGUCUAAUACUGGAUACGAAACGUGAUCGCAUGGUUCACGGCUGGAAAGAUUUUUUGGUUGGGGAUGGGCUCGCGGCCUAUCAGCUUGUUGGUGAGGUAAUGGCUCACCAAGGCGUCGACGGGUAGCCGGCCUGAGAGGGUGACCGGCCACACUGGGACUGAGACACGGCCCAGACUCCUACGGGAGGCAGCAGUGGGGAAUAUUGCACAAUGGGCGCAAGCCUGAUGCAGCAACGCCGCGUGAGGGAUGACGGCCUUCGGGUUGUAAACCUCUUUUAGCAAGGAAGAAGCGAAAGUGACGGUACUUGCAGAAAAAGCGCCGGCUAACUACGUGCCAGCAGCCGCGGUAAUACGUAGGGCGCAAGCGUUAUCCGGAAUUAUUGGGCGUAAAGAGCUCGUAGGCGGUUUGUCGCGUCUGCUGUGAAAUCCCGAGGCUCAACCUCGGGUCUGCAGUGGGUACGGGCAGACUAGAGUGCGGUAGGGGAGAUUGGAAUUCCUGGUGUAGCGGUGGAAUGCGCAGAUAUCAGGAGGAACACCGAUGGCGAAGGCAGAUCUCUGGGCCGUAACUGACGCUG
RNAcentral lists this ribosomal RNA (641 nucleotides) under Microbacterium sp. Its description in RNAcentral is "bacterial SSU rRNA". It matches the Rfam family "Bacterial small subunit ribosomal RNA", at positions 94 to 748 of the family's 1533-position model. The record is from RNAcentral. Lineage: Bacteria; Bacillati; Actinomycetota; Actinomycetes; Micrococcales; Microbacteriaceae.